AUACGUAGGAUGCAAGCGUUAUCCGGAAUUAUUGGGCGUAAAGGGCUCGUAGGCGGUUCGUCGCGUCCGGUGUGAAAGUCCAUCGCUUAACGGUGGAUCCGCGCCGGGUACGGGCGGGCUUGAGUGCGGUAGGGGAGACUGGAAUUCCCGGUGUAACGGUGGAAUGUGUAGAUAUCGGGAAGAACACCAAUGGCGAAGGCAGGUCUCUGGGCCGUUACUGACGCUGAGGAGCGAAAGCGUGGGGAGCGAACAGGAUUAGAUACCCUGGUAGUCCACGCCGUAAACGGCGGAUGCUGGAUGUGGGGCCCGUUCCACGGGUUCCGUGUCGGAGCUAACGCGUUAAGCAUCCCGCCUGGGGAGUACGGCCGCAAGGCUAAAACUCAAAGAAAUUGACGGGGGCCCGCACAAGCGGCGGAGCAUGCGGAUUAAUUCGAUGCAACGCGAAGAACCUUACCUGGGCUUGACAUGUUCCCGACGAUCCCAGAGAUGGGGUUUCCCUUCGGGGCGGGUUCACAGGUGGUGCAUGGUCGUCGUCAGCUCGUGUCGUGAGAUGUUGGGUUAAGUCCCGCAACGAGCGCAACCCUCGCCCCGUGUUGCCAGCGGAUUGUGCCGGGAACUCACGGGGGACCGCCGGGGUUAACUCGGAGGAAGGUGGGGAUGACGUCAGAUCAUCAUGCCCCUUACGUCCAGGGCUUCACGCAUGCUACAAUGGCCGGUACAACGGGAUGCGACAGCGCGAGCUGGAGCGGAUCCCUGAAAACCGGUCUCAGUUCGGAUCGCAGUCUGCAACUCGACUGCGUGAAAGCGGAGUCGCUAGUAAUCGCGAAUCAGCAACGUCGCGGUGAAUGCGUUCCCGGGCCUUGUACACACCGCCCGUCAAGUCAUGAAAGUGGGCAGCACCCGAAGCCGGUGGCCUAACCCCUUGCGGGAGGGAGCCGUCUAAGGUGAGGCUCGUGAUUGGGACU
This 965-nucleotide ribosomal RNA is filed under the name uncultured bacterium. Its description in RNAcentral is "bacterial SSU rRNA". It matches the Rfam family "Bacterial small subunit ribosomal RNA", at positions 523 to 1482 of the family's 1533-position model. The record is from RNAcentral.